Brassica napus (rape) is the source of this 828-nucleotide long non-coding RNA. RefSeq lists it as uncharacterized. Lineage: Eukaryota; Viridiplantae; Streptophyta; Magnoliopsida; Brassicales; Brassicaceae. The record is from RefSeq and is a predicted model, not a curated record. The transcript is spliced from 4 exons.
UCGAUCUUUUUUUUUUCUUCGACGUUCACUAUGAAGUCUCUUUCUUCGUUCUCUUUUUUUCUGCAACACCUAAAGCUUACAGAGAUAGUGUGUUCCCUUUUUCGAUAUCUCUGAUUCAGCAAUCAUCAAGCAGCCUCAACGCCAGGUCCCUCCCUCGCCCUUCUGUAGACGCUGCUCUGUUUUGAGACACGAUGACGAUGUGAAGGUAGACAGAAAGUCGCUGGAGUUCGAACCCUGAUCGUUUAAUAGGGGGGAAGUUAAAGCAGAGACCUUUACAUGACUACAUUGUGAUUUGACUCCUUCCAUGAGAGGGUUUUUGAUGGACUGGUUAGUGGAGGUUGCUGAGGAGUACAAACUUGUCUCCGACACGCUCUAUCUCACUGUCUCUUAUGCUGAGUCUCUCCGUUACAAACUCCUUGGUGGACUUGCUGUCUGCAGGGCUUGCUAUGGUGUCUUGAGAUUCGUCAUGGAGAGUGGUGCUAAGGGACGUGAGGUGACCACAAGCUAAAAUCCAUAGUAAAUCUCUUACAGAGUUCAUUUCAAAUGCUUACUCCCAGGUGACUGUGAGUGGAAAGCUUCGUGCAGCACGUGCCAAGUCCAUGAAAUUCAAGGACGGUUACAUGGUUUCCUCUGGUCAACCAACCAAGGAUUACAUCGACUAUGCAGUGAGACAUGUUCUGCUUAGGCAGGAGUCAUUGUUGCAGAUAGAGUUCCUCUGUUGCUAUCUCUCAGAGUUGAGUCUGUUGGAUUAUAGCUGUGUAAAGUUUUUACCCUCUCUUUUGGCUGCUUCUGCCGUCUUUCUUGCUCGAUUCAUCAUCCGUCCAAAAC